Numida meleagris (helmeted guineafowl) is the source of this 3492-nucleotide long non-coding RNA. The record is from Ensembl. Lineage: Eukaryota; Metazoa; Chordata; Aves; Galliformes; Numididae.
GGACAAAAUACAUAAAUUUCAAAUUUGUCCUGGUAAAUAACUAAUAUCAUUAAGGAGAAAUGCUUAUUUAUCUGUAGGAUCUGGUUAAUGGAUGGAUGUGGUCUUUUGUUGUUGUUUUCUAGUGGGGGAAGGGAGGCUACUUUUGCUUAAUUUCAGACUGUCGGAAAAAAUGAGUUCAGCAUCUGAAGAAGCACAAGAAGAAAUGCUUUUCUGCCGGAGGUUUACAGCAGAAAACAGUUGGGGAUUAUUGAGCAGCUGACUAAUGACUGUUUUUAACUAUGUCUAAUUUCUUGAGCAAAAGAAAUUGGCAGAUUUGUAAACAGCAGUGGAAGGCACCAAGUAAAUUCUUUCCUGUAUUCCGUGUGAAGAUCUGAAAUCAAGUAUCAUGUCUACAUUAAGCAUUGCACUUCUGAAGAGGUCAGAAGCAGAUGCUCUCCUUGAUACAGCUUAUUUCUUCAACAUUAUUCUCGAGUAAUUACGGAAAGAAGCUGCAGGUGUUGAAGGUUUGAUUCCAGGCACAGACAGCUCAGCCUUACUCCUGGCAGGAUGAAGCAGGUCCUAGAUGUGCUUUGAGGGCAGAUGGCUCAAGGUGGCUCCCCCUCUCCCAGGAACAAGAGGCCCCGCUGACCCAAUCCUUUAUGCCUCUGCCUGGACAUGGCACCAUUACCUGCAUCGGGUCUUCGCUAGCUCAAUAUACCCUCAGGAGUAUCUGCCAAUCUACAUAAAUCUCAGGGUGACGGUACCUACUUUGCCACAGGAGCAGCCCUGGCAAGAAGUUUCAACUGAGAGAACUCAACUAGCAAAAGAAGAUAUGAAGAGGAAUAAGACUGCCUGUUGCUGGUGUCAUUGGCAAACUGCAAUCUUGCUGCUCAACUGUUAGGUGCUCAAUAGGUAAAUCACACUUUUUUCCUAAUUUUCAUAUUUUUCAAAGUAGAAUUUAUUAAUGUUUUGGUUUUUAAUAUUGUCCAUAAAAGACCUUGCUUCUGAUAUGUUUCAUGUUAGUGAUGAAAUCUGUAUUCACUUCUGAGCUGAACUGGAAUUUAUUGGGAAAGUGACUCAGUUUGCAGAACAAAUUUAAUUAUGAUGCCAAAAAAAGAGAAAAAAGUGUUAUUCUGGCUGUCAUCUUGAAUAUUUUUAAUCACAGCAUCUCCAAGUACCUUGCAAACCAGAGUCACAGUGUCACUUCCAAGUAACAGAGCAGGACAAAGGCAAAGCCAAAGGUACCCAGAUCUCCUCUGUAUUAGCCCAGUACUCUAUCCAGUUUGUCACUUUUCUAUCGAAGUAUCAUGACCAUCUGAAAUAUUCAAAAACAUACCAUGUUUUGUAGAUAAAUGUAUGUACCCAGUUUUUAAGAAACAGUUUGUGUUUAGUGAAGACAUCCCCUCAGUUGACUGUGGGGCAGGAAAUGUCUACACGACUGAUUUAAUAGAAAAUAUACUGAAAUACAGUGCUCAGGUAAGAUUAGAAACUGGUCUGGAUUUAUUAGCAAUCUAGUGAGUAACAACACGAGUAGAACCUGCAUUUUCUGUACAACUUAUAAAAAGGCAAGAUAGUCUUGUUAACACUGUUAACUGAUCAGUUAACAGAGGGGUGAGUGGGCUAAACCACAUUUACAGCAAGUGAUGGUAAUCAGUGGCCUUAAAAGACAUAAAUGUCAACUCAAAUGAUUCACUAGCAGCAAUUCAUGUAAAUAUUAAAUAGUAAAACUUCACAGAUUUAAAACUUUCUUAUCUAAAUGGUAUACAACUGAUAAAAAAAACUUAAAAGGAAAAAAAAAGAAAAAAUAUCAGAAAGUUUCACUGACCAGCUUUUUAUUUUUUUUUUUAAGGAUGCUUUAAAGGGUAUGAGUUGAAUUAAAGCCCUUAGGAAAAAAAAUACUGCAAUUUUGCCAGAAAUGUACUGGUUUUAUUUUUAACAUCUGUUAAAGCUUUAUUCAUAAACUUUAACAAUGCAUUUUUCCAAGAGAGGCAAAGUUCACAUUAGGAGCAAAAAGGCAUUCAGUUUUAUGUGCUGUUCUAUUGAUUUUUCUGUGUGAAAAUUCAAUUUUAAUGGAAGGGGAAUUGCUUUUGAUAUUAUGUAUUUUUCUGAACUACCUAACAUAAUCAUAAAUUAUCUGCCAGUUUAUUAUCUGACUUCUUACGAGCACUUAUCAGUAGCAAAAUACGUUAGGAGAAAAAGCUGAUACAGCUAUCAGUAAAGUAAACAUUUCCAAAAAAGAUAAGUCAUAUCUAUACAGAAGCAAAUACUGCCAUUUAUCAUUUAAUAAUAUAAUACUUUUAGCACACAGAAAUAAGUUUGUCCCAAACGAUAUGACUGUUUACUAGUAUUAACUAACUGGGAAAUGGUGUGUGUGUGUAUGUAUAUAUAUAUACAUAUAAAAGCCCAGAACAUAAGACUAAAACAUUCUUCAGCCCAUGAUUUAAGUUUAUUUUUGCUUCUAUGAAGAUUACUUUGGUCUUCUAAACAAAACAUGAAAAGUCUGAUCAAGGAGUAGGAAUUGUGACUCUAAGUUGAUUUCUACAGCCAACUCCGGAGUUCAGUUAAACUAGAGUAUCUGUUCUGGGCAGGGCUGUGGAAUUAGCUACUUCUAAGCAAGGGCAAAUACCGUAGCAAACAUUCCUUGGCCUAGUCACUACUGCCUUUAUCCUGUCUAUAAGCUCCCUGUUACCCUGUGCUGUACACUUCAGAGAAUUUAGCUGUAUUCACUCUGUGCCCCCAUGGCACAUGCAUCUAAGUGUAUGGCAAAUACAAAGUAACUACUGUCUCAGUAUUUUAAAGCUAACUUUUAUGAAGUUGAUCACUUACUGUGCUUGCUAAUGUUAUUAAGGGUAUUUUUCAUUUGAAAGUGUAGGGGCCAAGAAAAUAAUCUCUUAUUGCUCAGUAAGGGGGCGAAUAAUGAAACAAAAAAUUUCAUUUAACUUUCCCCUGAGAGUAAUACCCUGGUAAAGCGUGCAUGAUGCUCCAGUAGCCAACACGCUCUGAAAUUAAAAUGCUGCUACUGAUUCACUAUUGUUCUCCCAGCUCAGGAAGGGAUUUGUGCUUUUGGUGCUGGUGUUGUGAGACUGCCUGAUUUAAGCCUGCUGUUCAUGCAAGAUCCCUGUGUACAGAGCCUUGUUACAUUUGCUGUAGAAUAUCUGGACGGAGUAAUACCACUCUUAUUUUUACAUGCAGAACCUUUUAUGAGCUAAGGUGUUUCUCUUUAAAGAUGGGUAUUUGCUAUGCGGAAGUGGAGAACACAUGCGUUUACCUGGCUACUCAGCCUGUACAGAAAGAGACUAGAGCGUUCGGUGACUAAGAGCAGCAGGGCCCAAGGAACUGCUGAGGCAGUUAAUCAACAUGACUGCACUUUCCCAGGACAUGGAGUGCACUGUAAAUAUGGAAUCCGGUCCCAGGAGAACUAGGACUUUCUGAUGCAAUUUGUGAAAGAUAAAACAAUGUGUAGAACUUGUGGAAACAAAUAAAAAAACAUUUCCAGUUAGCUACUAUGUGGAG